This 392-nucleotide ribosomal RNA is filed under the name uncultured bacterium. Its description in RNAcentral is "partial 16S ribosomal RNA". It matches the Rfam family "Bacterial small subunit ribosomal RNA", at positions 523 to 918 of the family's 1533-position model. The record is from RNAcentral.
CCACGUAGGGGGCGAGCGUUGUUCGGAAUCAUUGGGCGUAAAGGGCGCGCAGGCGGCGAGGCAAGUCCGGUGUGAAAGUGCUCGGCUCAACCGAGUGAUGCGCUGGAAACUGCCCUGCUUGAGUACAGGAGGGGACGUCGGAAUUCCAGGUGUAGGGGGGAAAUCUGUAGAUAUCUGGAAGAACACCGGUGGCGAAGGCGGACGUCUGGCCAUGUACUGACGCUGAGGCGCGAAGGUGCGGGGAGCGAACAGGUUUAGAUACCCUGGUAGUCCGCACAGUAAACGAUGUGCACCAGGUGGCGGGGGGUAGCCCUCGGUACCGAAGCCAACGCAUUAAGUGCACCGCCUGGGGAGUAUGCUCGCAAGGGUGAAACUCAAAUGAAUUGACGGGG